CAGGACGAACGCUGGCGGCGUGCUUAACACAUGCAAGUCGAACGGUAAGGCCUUUCGGGGUGCACGAGUGGCGAACGGGUGAGUAACACGUGGGUGAUCUGCCCUGCACUUUGGGAUAAGCCUGGGAAACUGGGUCUAAUACCGAAUAGGACCAUGGACUUCACGGUUUGUGGUGGAAAGCUUUUGCGGUGUGGGAUGGGCCCGCGGCCUAUCAGCUUGUUGGUGGGGUAAUGGCCUACCAAGGCGACGACGGGUAGCCGGCCUGAGAGGGUGACCGGCCACACUGGGACUGAGAUACGGCCCAGACUCCUACGGGAGGCAGCAGUGGGGAAUAUUGCACAAUGGGCGCAAGCCUGAUGCAGCGACGCCGCGUGAGGGAUGACGGCCUUCGGGUUGUAAACCUCUUUCAGCACAGACGAAGCGCAAGUGACGGUAUGUGCAGAAGAAGGACCGGCCAACUACGUG
RNAcentral lists this ribosomal RNA (465 nucleotides) under uncultured bacterium. RNAcentral describes it as "bacterial SSU rRNA". It matches the Rfam family "Bacterial small subunit ribosomal RNA", at positions 25 to 507 of the family's 1533-position model. The record is from RNAcentral.